This 326-nucleotide unclassified non-coding RNA is filed under the name soil metagenome. RNAcentral's name for it is "partial contains 5.8S ribosomal RNA, internal transcribed spacer 2, and large subunit ribosomal RNA". The stretch from base 1 to 120 matches the Rfam family "5.8S ribosomal RNA", at positions 35 to 154 of the family's 154-position model. The record is from RNAcentral.
GAUGAAGAACGCAGCGAAAUGCGAUAAGUAAUGUGAAUUGCAGAAUUCAGUGAAUCAUCGAAUCUUUGAACGCACAUUGCGCCCUCUGGUAUUCCGGAGGGCAUGCCUGUUCGAGCGUCAUUUCACCACUCAAGCCUGGCUUGGUAUUGGGCGCCGCGGUGUUCCGCGCGCCUCAAAGUCUCCGGCUGAGCUGUCCGUCUCCAAGCGUUGUGAUUUCAUUAAUCGCUUCGGAGUGCGGGCGGCCGCGGCCGUUAAAUCUUUCACAAGGUUGACCUCGGAUCAGGUAGGGAUACCCGCUGAACUUAAGCAUAUCAAUAAGCGGAGGA